This 157-nucleotide ribosomal RNA is filed under the name Exserohilum mcginnisii. RNAcentral's name for it is "5.8S ribosomal RNA". It matches the Rfam family "5.8S ribosomal RNA". From Rfam's summary of the family: 5.8S ribosomal RNA (5.8S rRNA) is a component of the large subunit of the eukaryotic ribosome. It is transcribed by RNA polymerase I as part of the 45S precursor that also contains 18S and 28S rRNA. RNAcentral also lists the same sequence under 3 other names. The record is from RNAcentral. Lineage: Eukaryota; Fungi; Ascomycota; Dothideomycetes; Pleosporales; Pleosporaceae.
AAACUUUCAACAACGGAUCUCUUGGUUCUGGCAUCGAUGAAGAACGCAGCGAAAUGCGAUACGUAGUGUGAAUUGCAGAAUUCAGUGAAUCAUCGAAUCUUUGAACGCACAUUGCGCCCUUUGGUAUUCCAAAGGGCAUGCCUGUUCGAGCGUCAUU